UCUGAAUGUUGACCUCGGAUCAGGUAGGAAUACCCGCUG
RNAcentral lists this ribosomal RNA (39 nucleotides) under Fusarium solani. RNAcentral's name for it is "partial 28S ribosomal RNA". Lineage: Eukaryota; Fungi; Ascomycota; Sordariomycetes; Hypocreales; Nectriaceae. The record is from RNAcentral.